CAGUCUUGGGACUUACAUCUUUCAACUGACAGCACACUGUGUUGAUUUCACACAGAGCUUCCGGCACAUCGCGUUUGUUGUUUAUAUCAUACGCAUGCGCACACGUCUCACAAGAUUUUCCUUAUAUCAAUAACCUCGCAUGUGAUUGGAGGAGCCCGACAGGCUUCUCGCCUUCGUCCAAUCAUGUGCGAGGUCAUGGUCACGGCUCACACAGCAGUGUCGACAAGCGUAACAGACGUUUGGUUUGGUGUUUGUAACUCUCCAAGAAGAGCAGACGGGUGCACAAUCCCAAGAUUGCGGAGGCUGUAGGGCGUCUCUGAGGCACACUGCAGGCGCUAUGAACCAGAGCAAAGACUAACGUCGCCUCAUAACAAAGCCGUGACCUCCGAUUUGCUUGGGGCUAUUUCAGCAAGUCCAGAUUUACUGCUGAGAAUGACGACAUUGUUUCUGCCCGUAAGACGUAUUAUGAGUCGGUACGCCGGAGUUUCAGAUACAAACAACCUGAACUCGCAUCGCAGGCGGAAAAUGCGAAAAGUUUAGCUCGGAGUCGAUCCAGAAGAAAAAUGUUGCUGGAAGCGAGACGAAGUGUGUUGGCUGAGGAUGAGAUGGACAUUUGGAAGUGCGCCACCAUAGAUCUCAUAUCUGAUGAGGAAGACGGCAUUGUUGGCGGGGUGUCUGGAUGGAUUGUGCGGCCACCGCCCUCUCGCAGCCUGGAACUCUCCGAGCUCUGUGCCACGCUGCAAUCCAGAUUAGAGGCGAUACCAAAGUACCGGGCAACUCACCAUAUACGCGUGAAAAAGUGACUUUUUUACAACGUUUUUGAGGUUUUUUUUCAACACUUUGAAAAAGAUUUUUAGGGAUCUUUCCCGAACAUCUUAGGCACUUUUUGACGUGUUUGGAGUACAAUAUAAGAGACAUUAUGCUGCUUUGUACAUAGUUGUGUGUUUAUAAAUAAAGCUCUUUCUUUGAAUAAA
Molecule: long non-coding RNA, 974 nt
Organism: Paramisgurnus dabryanus
Lineage: Eukaryota; Metazoa; Chordata; Actinopteri; Cypriniformes; Cobitidae
Source: RefSeq, a predicted model, not a curated record